GAUGAACGCUGGCGGCGUGCCUAAUACAUGCCAGUCGAGCGAACGGACGAGAAGCUUGCUUCUCUGAUGUUAGCGGCGGACGGGUGAGUAACACGUGGAUAACCUACCUAUAAGACUGGGAUAACUUCGGGAAACCGGAGCUAAUACCGGAUAAUAUUUUGAACCGCAUGGUUCAAAGGUGAAAGACGGUCUUGCUGUCACUUAUAGAUGGAUCCGCGCUGCAUUAGCUAGUUGGUAAGGUAACGGCUUACCAAGGCAACGAUGCAUAGCCGACCUGAGAGGGUGAUCGGCCACACUGGAACUGAGACACGGUCCAGACUCCUACGGGAGGCAGCAGUAGGGAAUCUUCCGCAAUGGGCGAAAGCCUGACGGAGCAACGCCGCGUGAGUGAUGAAGGUCUUCGGAUCGUAAAACUCUGUUAUUAGGGAAGAGCAUAUGUGUAAGUAACUGUGCACAUCUUGACGGUACCUAAUCAGAAAGCCACGGCUAACUACGUG
RNAcentral lists this ribosomal RNA (497 nucleotides) under uncultured bacterium. RNAcentral describes it as "partial 16S ribosomal RNA". It matches the Rfam family "Bacterial small subunit ribosomal RNA", at positions 28 to 507 of the family's 1533-position model. The record is from RNAcentral.